This is a long non-coding RNA of Oryzias melastigma (Indian medaka), 429 nucleotides long. RefSeq lists it as uncharacterized. The record is from RefSeq and is a predicted model, not a curated record. The transcript has 2 exons. Lineage: Eukaryota; Metazoa; Chordata; Actinopteri; Beloniformes; Adrianichthyidae.
ACACACAUGUACUCUUGUAACACGGGCGCUAAACCACUCCCUCAUCCUCUUGUCCUGAGAACAACUCUUUGACCCAGCAUGCCUUGCGCGCCUCGGGUCACAUGACCGCGACCGUCCAAUCGGCAGUCUUUAUUAAUCCCAAGCAGGAAGCGACCAGACACACACGUUGCUGAGCUGGGAAAUGUUUGUUGCUACGAGGAGCCGCCUACCCGUCGAAACUGUCGAGAAAAGCGUCUAACUAGUUACCAUUUUGCUGUGGAAUCAGCCGCUUAUGAUGGCGAGCUAAGCCCGAGCCUGAACCCGGUUAAAUGCUGGAGCCUUCCGAAGGACAUUUCCCAUCCUGUACACUGUCCAUGCUGGUAGGAGGCUCCUGUAGCCUACAGACUCUACUGACAACAAACCCAUAAACCAGAGCUCUUCACACAUUCA